Molecule: long non-coding RNA, 5778 nt
Filed under: Nicotiana benthamiana
Lineage: Eukaryota; Viridiplantae; Streptophyta; Magnoliopsida; Solanales; Solanaceae
Description: long non-coding RNA (NBEN_LNC034249)
Source: RNAcentral
AGAAUCUCUCAUCUCACAGCAGACUUGUUGCUGCUCUACUACCAUAAAAAAUGGCCGGAUAUUGGCAACCACUCACACACGAACAGUAAGAGAAACAGAGUCGAACUCGCCGUCGAGGUUUAUGGAUACCGGUUCCGUCUACGGUCCCCGAUGAAGACUUUGCCAUGAUUUCUCGAGUUUGCUUGCCCUCUUUGUAACUUCACCCUAGUUCAUUUAUACAAAAGCUGGUUCACUAAAUUGUAUUUUGAUUUCUCGUGUCAAUUUGGUAUCAUCUCUUUUUCUGCGAUUUAUUGUACCAAAAAGAGUAUUCCAUUUUCAAAGGGAGAUUCUGUUGUGGUUAGUUUUUCUAUUUCCAGUUCAUACUAUUCUGCUGGAAUUGUUUUUCUGUGGUAUCGGCUAUUCUGGGUGCGAAACGGGCGUUAACGAUGCCUGGGGGAUGAAACUUAUUGUAUUGAUGACAAUGAAGUCAUGGAGGUCGCGCUUAGUAGUUUAUCUCUUGGUUCUGCAACUAUUAGCUGCAUCUAUUAGCCGUGCAUUGAGCGAGCUCGUCUCUAUUGGAGUUGCCGAUCGAGGUUGCUGUUGGAGGUUCAAGUCGUGACUUGCGUGUUCCUAUUCGUGGCUAUUGAAUCAUUUUGCUGCUAUACUUUGCAUUCGGAUCCAAUAGAUUUGAGGUUGCUGUAUUUGCACCUUCCCGACUGAUCAGAAAGCUUCGCACGUUAAGGUCCGAUCCUUCAAUCCUUUACUCAUUCUAGUAUUAAUUGUGUUUGGUGAUUUGAUCUUGUGACUUGUUAUCUACGAUUUUGAAUAUGUCCGCUUGUAUGUCUACCUGAACUAACUAAGAGUGAAUUGAAAUCGCACGUCCAGUUAGUUGAAUCGUAUGCUUAAGUUGGAUCCGAAUAUUGGACUGUCAGUGGUUGGAUUCGUAUGUCUAUGAUUUGUAUGUUUACUUAAUGAGCACAAAAGUGGCAGUAGUAUACAUUUGUUAAGAACAACAUUGUGUUUUACCAAUCUCAUUAGCUGGUACAGUGAAACCCUUGUUUCUCUUUAAAUGUGAUUGCAAAAACAUAAUCAGAAGGCUUUGCUAUCAGGGUUAGAUUUAUUUGGUGUUUUCUAUGGAUGAAUGUUUCUUUUAAUAAGAUGAAUUGUGAAGAGGGAUGGAUGCUUGUUUGGUUUGAAUUUGAAAUCUUAAUAGAGAUAUAGUAUUAAGGAGUCGCGGGUGCAUUUCAUGUGACCCGGUUCCAAUUUCGAUCAAGGUCAAAUAAAGUGUGUCGUGAACCAUGGAUACAUUUCAUGUAACGUGGCUUGCGAUAUGUAUUAAAUAACCUUGAACUUUCCUUAAAUAAAUAAAAGCAAUUUGAAAGUUUACGGCCUUCCAAAUGUAAUUCUCUUUUAAAUUGGAAUUAGAGAGGUGCCGUGCCAAACAAAAAUGACAACUGCACGACCCUCAUUUAUUUAGUCUUGUUUUGUCCUUAGAAAAUCGGGAAGGGACGUUUAGCAAAUUUUACGGCCCUCCCAAAAGAUAAUAACGCGUUAGACUCUUUAGACGCGAUUCUAAUAAAAUUACCUUUCUUAAACUUGGGUGCGCAUUGAUGCAACCCAAAUCUAAAUCUCGGCGAAGUCGAAAUGCGUUGAUAACCACGGGUGCCUUGAUGGCAACGGAGUUAGAAACGCGUUUUCACGACGUCAUAAUUCUUAUAAAACGAAUAAUGAUUGAAAGUGGUAAUAAAAUGGAGACGAGCCUCACCUAACAAGAAUAAAUGUGGGGCCCUCAAUAAUUGGUUAUUUAAAAUGAUUAGAAUUUGGAAGAGUCGUCUAGCAAAUUUCAACGGCUUUUCCCAAACAAUAUUACGUUAGAACCUUUAAGUGCGAUUUAAUUAAAUUAUUUCCUUAAACUCGGGUGCGUAUUGAUGCGACCCAAAUUCAAAUCUCGAGGAAGUCGAAACGUGUUGACGACCAUGAGUGCCUUUGACGGCGACGUGGUAAGAGACGUGUUUUCACGACGUUGCAAUUCUUUUAACAUAAUGACAAGCGGUUUACUAAUAAAAGGCGCAUAAGCUAGCAUGUAUUAGAAUCAGAUAAAAUCAAAUACAACAAUUAAGCGACCGUGCUAGAACCACGAAAUCCGGGAAUGCCUAACACAUUCUUCCGGGUUAACAGAAUUCCUUAUCAGGAUUUCUGGUUCAAGGACUGUAAUACAGAGUCAUAUCCUUCCUCGGUUCGGGAUUCAAAUCGGUGACUUGGAACACCAUAAAUCUCCCAAGUGGCGACUCUGAGUAAUUAAUAACCUAAUUCCGUUCCGAUUGUCCUUUAAUUGGAAAAACUCCUUUAUGCCCCUUUCGCGGGGUGUAUAAUGAAAAAAGGAAGUGUGACUCUUGUCAUAGCAUUAAUGGUGACAAAAGUUCUCCUUUAAUGAAAUCCACUUCCCAAAUAUUUAACUGAAGAAUAAAUAAAAGUGGGGGAACUAUUUGUAUUGAGAAAAAUCGAGUUUGUAUAUUAAAGAUGACGUGCCGUGAUAGGUAGACUAGUCAAAGAGUUAUAAUUAGCUAAGAGACGCGGCCGCCAACAUAUACGAGCAAAAGUAGCAGAAGAGGCAAACAGUUAUUCAAGUGCCUCAGCACCCGUACCUAUUCAGGUUGCUUAAAACUCAAAGAUUGCAAAAAUCAAGGGAAUGAAUCUGACAGCAUACGAGUGUCUAAAUACAAUAUUUAAUGAGUAUUAAAUAUCGAAGACGUUAGAGAAUAUGUAUUUAAUGUAUAUGAUUGUGUAACAUAACAUUUAAUGUUAUUUAUUGCUCAUUAUAGCCUCGUUAUGACAAAGGCAAGGCUCAUAUUUCAAAAAAUAGUUAUAACAGGGGGAAAAGCGAACAGUUGUAGGGAUACGAAAUAUUAUAGGAAUGCAUUCCGAUUUACUUAUUUUCUGAUCAUAUUGUUCUCAAAUUUCUUUCUCUAUAUAUUUUCUUGAUUAUCAGUAACCCGUGUUUUUUUAAAAUUUUUAGUUUUGACUAAAAAUUUAUUUUUUGGUUAAACAUCUCCGUUCCAAUUUAUGUGUACCUAUUUCCUUUUUAGUCUGUUCCAAAAAGAAUGAGCCCUUUUUAAUAUUUAGCUUGAAUUUUCAAUUCUACCCUUAGUGAAGCUUUUAUAACCAUACAAAUACUAUGUACCCCUUUUUGAGUUGCUUAGAACCACAAAUUUCAAAAAUCUUUAUUUUUUCUUAAACUCCGUACCCCGUUAAAUAGAUUCACAUAAAUUGGAACAAAGGGAAUAACAUACUUGCCUUGAUUCAAAUUAAUACCUCGAUUGAAGUAUCUCACUUCUAUGCCAAGAAAGAAAUGCAAAGGUCCAAGGUAUUUGACGGCAAACUCCUUUCCGAGACCUGUGACUCAGGGGCGGCCCAAGGGUCAAGCCACUAAAGCAAAGCCUUUAGGCUCCCAAAUUUUGAGGGCCCAAUUUUUUUAAUUUUUUUAUUUUCUGUUCGUAUUUGUAUUAAGACCACGACUAAUCUAGAUUAAUACUGCGUAAUGCCUAGUAAAAGAGAAAACAUAUUUUAACAAGAUUUACUUUAACCACAAGACUCGAAUCCAAUAUAUCUAAUUAAGGUAAGUCGGAUCAUAUAUAUCUCACAACAAUCUUUAGAGGUAGGGUCUAAAUAUAUUGGGUAUGUUAAAAUUAAAAAUAAGAUAUUUUAUAAAAAAUAAAGAUAACUUUUAAUUUAGUAUUGAUGUAAUCGUUUAAGCAAAAAUUGGAGAGAGAGAGAAUCACUCUCCCUAAACCCUUACCGCGAAUAUAAAAUUUUUCAUUAUCUAUAUUAUUAUUCUCCUUUUACAUUUCGUACUAAAAACAUGUAAUAAACUUUUAGAAUGCAUUUUUUAGUAUCUUCUGUAGUUCAAGUCUUAUUUUUUUUAUUUUUUUCAUAAGAAAACGGGUGCUACAUUCUUAUAUACUUUUCUUGGUUUCUACAAAAAAAAACCUUAAGUUCUCGAUAAGUUAUAUUGUUCUCUAUAGAAAGAAAAGAGUUUUAUUUUUUUACAAAAAAUAAGAGUUGAAGAGUACCGUUGAAUAAAAAUAUAUUGCGCAUCCCCCCCUCUCCCCCUUCAGCGUUUCAACAAGUGUAUUAGAACAUCAAAAAUUAUUUUGACAUCAAGUUAUAAAUUUCUUAAAUUUGGUUCUAUUAUCUAAGAUCAACAAUAUUUUAGGAGAGAUUAAAUUAUUUAUAAAAGAAACUAUUAACAACUUUACAUCCUAGAAAGCUAUAAAAAUAGAUUUCACUUAAAAAUAUAGACGAACUUUUUUCCUUCUGAAAGGUCCCGGAUUAAAUAUUGACUUUAGGCCACCAAUCUUCUUGGACCGCCCCUGCUGUGAGUAUCUCUGCAAUGAACUCAUAAGAGCUUCCUGUAACCACACUAUAUCCAUAUACAGAAGCAGCAAGCUUUUUCCUAUCUUGCGUUGGAAUACAAACAAUGAUGAGUCUGCUUACUACAUUUGAAACCAAGAUGGAGUAGAUACACAUUAAACCUGUCAAACCAGGCCCUAGGUUCCUGCUUAAAAUCAUACAAUGCCCUUUUUAGAAGGCAUUUGAAUCAACGAAACCUGAGGACUAAGAGCCUGUUUGGUUUAGCUGAUUUAGAAUAGCGGAUAAGUAUUGGGUAUUGAAAAGCACUUAACUGUUGAAACUAAUUUAAAAAAUAAGCAGUUACAUGUUUGGAUAAAAGUGCUGAAGAAUUGGGUAUAUGAAGAGUUUUAUUUAAAAAAAAUUAUUUUAGGGAUAGAAUAAUAAAUAUUUUGGUCAAACCUCAAGUGCUUAUAAGCUGAAAUUUGAUAAGUUAGGGUAGACCAAUUAUGACUUUUGGCUUAGUUUUGGUUUAGAAGCCCUUAACUUCUAAGCACGUUUAAUUUUACCAAACGCAUAGAUAAGCCAAAAAGUAGUUAUAAGCCAGUUUGACCGACUUAUAAGCUUAGCCAAACACCUUUUAGAUCAUGUAGACUUGCUCCUACAAGUUAUCUGAUAGGCCAGUGUGAAGUGAUUGCAACCGAGAGAAUCACUCUUACGGUAGUUGCCUUAAUGACUGAUGAAGGUCUUCCCUAUUAACAGGACUGAGCAUCUCUUUGCAACAAGCCUGACUUUGUACCUAUUUAUAGUGCCAUCAGACUGCAGCGUGGUUAUAAAAAUCCACUUUGAGCCAACUAUAUUUAUGCCUGCAGUUUAUGGGACUAGAAUCCAAGUCUUGUUCUUGUGUAAUGCAUCAAUUUCCUACUGCAUCGCUGCAUACUAGUGAGUGCAUGGCUCACAGUCCUUGCUUCUACGUCCAUUGUAUUCUUGACUGCUACUAUGGAAGUAUGGGUUAUAUGCAUUUUUCUUGCCUUAUAUCUUGUAACCAUAUGAUAACCAUCUAUGUUGUCUGGUGCACAGAUUUGCUCAUAUGUGAGGUCAUGUUCAUCUGUGAGACGUGGCACAGUAUGGUUGUGCUCAGUACUAAACCAUUUUCCCCGGGCUGUCAAAUUUGGCCCAAGCCCAAAUGACCCGCCCAAGGUUGAAUUGGUUAUUGACCCGUCCAUUUAUUGAACUUAGUCCAUCUUGACCAACACAUCUCAACCCAUUUUAAAUUUGGGUUAAUUUUUGGGAUUUUUACCUAUAUAUACCAUAUAACAACCCUUAUUACCAAAAUUGUGUAUGGUUUGGUAUUUACUCGCCUAUACCAUGUUUUGUUUACAAACAUUGUACCAAACCAAAAAUAGAUAGAUUCUACUCUAAAAAGGCUCCAAAUUUGUAGGAAUCACAUUU